This 460-nucleotide ribosomal RNA is filed under the name uncultured bacterium. RNAcentral describes it as "partial 16S ribosomal RNA". It matches the Rfam family "Bacterial small subunit ribosomal RNA", at positions 338 to 795 of the family's 1533-position model. The record is from RNAcentral.
CCUACGGGUGGCAGCAGUGAGGAAUAUUGGUCAAUGGACGAGAGUCUGAACCAGCCAAGUAGCGUGAAGGAUGACUGCCCUAUGGGUUGUAAACUUCUUUUAUAAAGGAAUAAAACGAGGCACGUGUGCCUUUUUGCAUGUACUUUAUGAAUAAGGCACGCCUAACUCCGUGCCAGCCGCCGCGGUAAUACGGAGGAUCCGAGCGUUAUCCGGAUUUAUUGGGUUUAAAGGGAGCGUAGAUGGGUUGUUAAGUCAGUUGGGAAAGUUUGCGGCUCAACCGUAAAAUUGCAAUUGAUACUGGCAGUCUUGAGUACAGUUGAGGUAGGCGGAAUUCGUGGUGUAGCGGUGAAAUGCUUAGAUAUCACGAAGAACCCCGAUGGCGAAGGCAGCUUACUAAACUGUGACUGACAUUGAUGCUCGAAAGUGUGGGUAUCAAACAGGAUUAGAUACCCUGGUAGUC